This 253-nucleotide ribosomal RNA is filed under the name uncultured bacterium. RNAcentral describes it as "partial 16S ribosomal RNA". It matches the Rfam family "Bacterial small subunit ribosomal RNA", at positions 524 to 776 of the family's 1533-position model. The record is from RNAcentral.
UACGUAGGGUCCGAGCGUUGUCCGGAAUUACUGGGCGUAAAGAGCUCGUAGGUGGUUUGUCGCGUUGUUCGUGAAAACUCACAGCUCAACUGUGGGCGUGCGGGCGAUACGGGCAGACUGGAGUACUGCAGGGGAGACUGGAAUUCCUGGUGUAGCGGUGGAAUGCGCAGAUAUCAGGAGGAACACCGGUGGCGAAGGCGGGUCUCUGGGCAGUAACUGACGCUGAGGAACCAAAGCGUGGGGAGCGAACAGG